AACGUACAUCCAUAUCCAACCCAGCAGCUCUAUCAGUAAGUGCGGUGUUGUUAUCCUUCAAGCUCAGCACUUCUUCUUCGGCAUUCGCAAGCUCGCUCUUCAGAUCAGCAUUGUCGCGUUGGUUCUGAACGGCUUGCUUCUUCAACUCCACAAUCGUAGCCUCAAGCGAGGCUACGUGCCCUCUUUCACUAGCUAGCUGGCUC
Molecule: long non-coding RNA, 203 nt
Filed under: Zostera marina
Lineage: Eukaryota; Viridiplantae; Streptophyta; Magnoliopsida; Alismatales; Zosteraceae
Description: long non-coding RNA (ZMAR_LNC005653)
Source: RNAcentral